CCACAUCCAGUUUGUGGAUGGUGGCACCUUGUGCAUCCUCAAAGCCUCCAUGAACGACAGUGGCUACUACACCUGUGUGGUCCGCAACGAGGUCAGCCAGAACGAGGCCUCCUUCCUGCUCCAUGUCCAGAAUUCCCCAAACGUGGUGCUGCCUGUAAUCCUGGCCUGCGUGGUCGUCGGCUCGCUGGCAGGAGUCUUCGUGUGGUGCAGGAGGAGAGGUCGCCAGC
Long non-coding RNA from Indicator indicator, 227 nucleotides. RefSeq lists it as uncharacterized. The record is from RefSeq and is a predicted model, not a curated record. The transcript is spliced from 3 exons. Lineage: Eukaryota; Metazoa; Chordata; Aves; Piciformes; Indicatoridae.